GAUGAACGCUGGCGGCGUGCCUAAUACAUGCAAGUCGAACGCAUUGAGAGAAGUGCUUGCACUUUUCAAUUUGAGUGGCGAACGGGUGAGUAACACGUGGGCAACCUACCUGAUAGCGGGGGAUAACGAGUGGAAACAUUCGCUAAUACCGCAUAACAAUAGAGAAGGCAUCUUCUUUAUUUAAAAGGCGCUUUCAAGCGUCACUAUCAGAUGGGCCCGCGGUGCAUUAGUUAGUUGGGGGGGUGAAGGCCUACCAAGACGAUGAUGCAUAGCCGAGUUGGGAGCCUGAGCGGCCACAUUGGGACUGAGACACGGGCCAAACUCCUACGGGAGGCUGCAGUAGGGAAUCUUCCACAAUGGACGAAAGUCUGAUGGAGCAACGCCGCGUGUGUGAUGAAGGCUUUCGGGUCGUAAAGCACUGUUGUAUGGGAAGAAAUGCUAGGCUAGGAAAUGAGCUUAGUUUGACGGUACCAUACCAGAAAGGGACGGCUAAAUACGUGCCAGCAGCCGCGGUAA
RNAcentral lists this ribosomal RNA (516 nucleotides) under uncultured bacterium. RNAcentral's name for it is "partial 16S ribosomal RNA". It matches the Rfam family "Bacterial small subunit ribosomal RNA", at positions 28 to 523 of the family's 1533-position model. The record is from RNAcentral.